AGUGAACGCUGGCGGUAGGCCUAACACAUGCAAGUCGAACGGCAGCACAGUAAGAGCUUGCUCUUACGGGUGGCGAGUGGCGGACGGGUGAGGAAUACAUCGGAAUCUACUUUUUCGUGGGGGAUGACGUAGGGAAACUUACGCUAAUACCGCAUACGACCUACGGGUGAAAGCAGGGGAUCUUCGGACCUUGCGCGAUUGAAUGAGCCGAUGUCGGAUUAGCUAGUUGGCGGGGUAAAGGCCCACCAAGGCGACGAUCCGUAGCUGGUCUGAGAGGAUGAUCAGCCACACUGGAACUGAGACACGGUCCAGACUCCUACGGGAGGCAGCAGUGGGGAAUAUUGGACAAUGGGCGCAAGCCUGAUCCAGCCAUACCGCGUGGGUGAAGAAGGCCUUCGGGUUGUAAAGCCCUUUUGUUGGGAAAGAAAAGCAGCAGGUUAAGACCCCGCUGUUCUGACGGUACCCAAAGAAUAAGCACCGGCGAACUUCGU
RNAcentral lists this ribosomal RNA (491 nucleotides) under uncultured bacterium. RNAcentral's name for it is "partial 16S ribosomal RNA". It matches the Rfam family "Bacterial small subunit ribosomal RNA", at positions 29 to 506 of the family's 1533-position model. The record is from RNAcentral.